UCUACAUUGAAACACUAUUUCCCGUAUGAUCACCGAAGUUAAGCAACGUCGUGCCUGGUCGGUACAUAGAUGAGUGAAUCGUUUGGGAAUAUUAGGUGCUGUAAG
Molecule: non-coding RNA, 105 nt
Organism: Acanthosepion pharaonis
Lineage: Eukaryota; Metazoa; Mollusca; Cephalopoda; Sepiida; Sepiidae
Source: the annotation of a GenBank genome assembly